RNAcentral lists this ribosomal RNA (406 nucleotides) under uncultured bacterium. RNAcentral describes it as "partial 16S ribosomal RNA". It matches the Rfam family "Bacterial small subunit ribosomal RNA", at positions 30 to 526 of the family's 1533-position model. The record is from RNAcentral.
AUUGAACGCUGGCGGCAGGCCUAACACAUGCAAGUCGAACGAGUGGCGGACGGGUGAGUAAUGUCUGGGAAACUGACUGUUGGAGGGGGAUAACUACUGGAAACGGUAGCUAAUACCGCAUACCAUCGGAUGUGCCCAUAUGGGAUUAGCUAGUAGGGGGGGUAAAGGCUCACCUAGGCGACGAGCCCUAGCUGGUCUGAGAGGCUGACCAGCCACACUGGAACUGAUACACGGUCCAGACUCCUACGGGUGGCAGCAGUGGGGAAUAUUGCACAAUGGGCGCAAGCCUGAUGCAGCCAUGCCGCGUGUAUAAAGAGGGCCUUCGGGUUGUAAAGUACUUUCAGCGGGGAGGCGUUACCCGCAGAAGAAGCCCCGGCUAACUCCGUGCCAGCAGCCGCGGUAAUUC